AGGUUCUAGGAGCAGCUCUGGUGCUGAACAAGAGGAUCAGUGAUGAUGUCCAGGGUUCUCUGUUCACAGACCAGGAUGAGAAGGUCCUGGCCUGUCACAUGGGUCUGCUCGGGCUGGUCCUGGACAAUGUUCAGCUGUUUGAGAGUUCCAGACAGGAAGCCAACCGAUGCCAGGUGUUGUUGACCCUGGCCAGGCUGCUGUCAGAGGAACAGAAGUCGAUGGAGAAUCUCCUGGGCAAGAUGGCCGCCACCAUCCUGCCUUUCGCACGGGCUCAGUACUGUACCAUUUUCAUCGCCAGGGACAGACCCAAG
Oncorhynchus gorbuscha (pink salmon) is the source of this 311-nucleotide long non-coding RNA. RefSeq lists it as uncharacterized. The transcript is spliced from 3 exons. The record is from RefSeq and is a predicted model, not a curated record. NCBI's taxonomy places the organism in Eukaryota, Metazoa, Chordata, Actinopteri, Salmoniformes, Salmonidae.